Long non-coding RNA from Gasterosteus aculeatus aculeatus (three-spined stickleback), 2121 nucleotides. Lineage: Eukaryota; Metazoa; Chordata; Actinopteri; Perciformes; Gasterosteidae. The record is from Ensembl.
AUGCGCGUGCGCACGAGUCGCAGCCGAGCAGCUGCGCACGCUUAUCCUAACGGGCGACCUCUGAAAACCCAAGUGUUUCGCUGCUAAGAAGCCGACCACAUGUCAAAAGUGUCGAGUCACCCCCGAGAGCAGCCCUUGACCCGGGAACGCCUGCGUCACGCUGGACUACACGCCGUGCGUUUUCCAGAGAGCCAAUUAGGAUCGAGAAGGUGUAAAGGGAUUUCCACCAGGCUGGGAGACGUUAAUGAUGUUCUCAAGAGAUUUGAUGCAAGCAAGCAAGAGAACAAAGAACCUCUCCAGCUCUCAGCACACCGGUGGGUUCUCACUCGCACUUUCCUCUGUGCCUUCCAGCAGCUGCAGUCAGCUGGUCUGACUAGCGCCCUCUGUGAGAGGCAGGCACUAAAUGUUUCUGCAGAACACAUGGCAGAGACAGUGGUGCAAACCCCCCCUCCGAGGAACAGCUGCUCCGCCAUCAAUCACACUUACACCACCGACAUGGGAUGAGCAACUUAUGUUACUGUUUCCAGAACCAUUCGCUAUGAGGCUUCGACAAGGUCUUUCAUUUUCUUAAAAUAACAACAAUAAGUGAAUUUGAAUUUGUCGGCGCUACAAACAUGCAAAAUGUGAAUACAAUGUUCUUGCUUGCAUCUAAUGUAAAUUUAAGCUUUUGUCACAAACAGAUCCCACUGCUCACACUGAUAAUGCUUCUGUGUGCGUGUGUGUGCCCGCUGUCAACAAGUUAACCACAAAUCAAGCAGCCAACCAAACAACAGCAUAAAACAGAGUGCAGGAUGUGUGACUUGGGGUCAAUCGCCAAGGCAGUGUCGGUAGAUCGCCUGCCAAUGCAAAAAAAAUUCACUCAUGCACAGUCGACCGCGGGAGAGCUAACGGAAAGCUAAUGCUAAUUAGCGAUCUCUGCUUACUAACUCACACAUUUAAUUUCAUUCCAAAGCAACCCUGACUUAAUCCAACCCGUGCAAGUCAUCAAGUAAGCUAAUGACCGAGAAUGCGUGGGUUGAUUGUGACGGUUCCUCGAGGGGCUCGUUGUUUUAAAAAAAAAUAUUGAUUCGUUUUGCGCAUGCAACGGUAUGCAGCGCUGUUGUUCUGUUUGGGUCCUGCUACUACUCGUUCGUCCGGGGGGUGGGUGGAUUGCCAUUACUUGCUAAUACUUGGCAAUCUACCCACCAUUGGUCUAAACCAGGGAUCCCCCGACCAAUGGCCAUACACCACAGGCCAUAGAGAGUGGUUUAACGUGGAGAAAUCUAUUUAAUCAUGUGAAAAAUACCUCCUGUCUUUUCACGCACAACACAUUCCUGCUACUCAACACUCGACUGUGGUAUUUCAUUUGAACUGUAGCUUUGGUUUCUUUCUUUCUCUUUCUUCCUGUCAGUUCUUUCACUAUUACAUUAGUGAACAUACUCUCAUGUCUUGGUUACUGUCAGCUUGCACCUCGUGUUUUUAUUUUCUGGACAUUUAAGAGCAAAACCCCAGUCUCCCUAACCUUUUAUUGUUUCAAUAAAAGGACAUCAUCUUCUGUUUACAUAGCUUGAAUAAAGUGAGAGGUUUUUUGUCUUUAUUGGACGGAUAAAGAGUGAGGUAGCAGACAGGGGAGAAAGAGAGCCUUGCAACAAAAGAUCAGGUGGUUGGAGAAUUGGUUGGCAUGUGGAGUAACUAUUUGGCUACCAAAAACUCUGCCUUCCUCAAUUCUGAAAAGUUUUUAUGAUUUCUAUUGUAGGAUAUUAGAAACAAAUAUACGACCCGGUUCAUAAAAUUAAUGAAAAUGCAUAUAGUGUACACCAGAAUACAGCCAUGAUUCUGAAACUGUGUAAUCCAUAAAGUAAUGACAAUAUUGUAAAACUACUGUUAUUCUGCAACUGUAAUAGAAUAAUACCAAUGUAGUUAUGAUUGUAUUUGAUGUAAUGUAAUCAACUGGAAUGCAUGCAUGUAAUACUUGAACAACAACUGAUAUUGACUAAGGAUCAUUCGAAAUCCGAGUUACAUUGAACUCACCAGAAGACCACUCCCAGAGGUGUGGACACUGACUUUCACAUCUUUAAGCAUUGUUAUAAAUACCUGUAGGAACCAUUGUUCUCGAGUUCGCUGGUGGAGACGACAGACGGG